RNAcentral lists this ribosomal RNA (301 nucleotides) under uncultured bacterium. RNAcentral describes it as "partial 16S ribosomal RNA". It matches the Rfam family "Bacterial small subunit ribosomal RNA", at positions 509 to 807 of the family's 1533-position model. The record is from RNAcentral.
CAGUAGCCGCGGUAAUACGAAGGGUGCAAGCGUUAAUCGGAAUUACUGGGCGUAAAGCGUGCGUAGGCGGUGAGUUAAGUCAGAUGUGAAAUCCCCGAGCUUAACUUGGGAACUGCAUUUGAAACUGGCAAGCUAGAGUCUUGUAGAGGGGGGUAGAAUUCCAGGUGUAGCGGUGAAAUGCGUAGAGAUCUGGAGGAAUACCGGUGGCGAAGGCGGCCCCCUGGACAAAGACUGACGCUCAGGUGCGAAAGCGUGGGGAGCAAACAGGAUUAGAUACCCGUGUAGUCCCUGUCUCUUAUAC